RNAcentral lists this ribosomal RNA (492 nucleotides) under uncultured bacterium. RNAcentral's name for it is "partial 16S ribosomal RNA". It matches the Rfam family "Bacterial small subunit ribosomal RNA", at positions 29 to 507 of the family's 1533-position model. The record is from RNAcentral.
AGUGAACGCUGGCGGUAGGCCUAACACAUGCAAGUCGAACGGCAGCACAGUAAGAGCUUGCUCUUACGGGUGGCGAGUGGCGGACGGGUGAGGAAUACAUCGGAAUCUACUUUUUCGUGGGGGAUAACGUAGGGAAACUUACGCUAAUACCGCAUACGCCCUACGGGUGAAAGCAGGGGAUCUUCGGACCUUGCGCGAUUGAAUGAGCCGAUGUCGGAUUAGCUAGUUGGCGGGGUAAAGGCCCACCAAGGCGACGAUCCGUAGCUGGUCUGAGAGGAUGAUCAGCCACACUGGAACGGGGACACGGUCCAGACUCCUACGGGAGGCAGCAGUGGGGAAUAUGAGACAGUGGGCGCAAGCCUGAUCCAGCCAUACCGCGUGGGUGAAGAAGGCCUUCGGGUUGUAAAGCCCGUUUGUUGGGAAAGAAAAGCAGCAGGUUAAUACCCCGCGGUUCUGACGGUACCCAAAGAAUAAGCACCGGCUAACUUCGUG